Molecule: non-coding RNA, 1370 nt
Organism: Dermacentor albipictus
Lineage: Eukaryota; Metazoa; Arthropoda; Arachnida; Ixodida; Ixodidae
Source: RefSeq, a predicted model, not a curated record
UUUCAAAAUUCAAUUAUUUUAGACAACAGGCACAUAUGCAAUACUGACAUAAUCCCGAAUACCACACGUUUCCCUUUUAUGCAGAUAUGCAAUGGCAAGCCCUUCCAUGUGUUCCAAAAGUAAAAUUUAAGCUCUAAAUUAAAGAAGAUAUUUCUAGUCAGAAACAAGCAAAAAUGGUGACUGCAGAGUAUCAGAAGCCCAAGGUACAGAAAUUGUGAGAAGUGUCGAAUGAUUUCAAGGAAAGAGUCGUAUUUGAAAAUGCAAGACUCUUUAGUGGAGGUCAAGCAAGUCAAUAUAGGUAGAAUACUCUGCAAAAUUAUGCGAGUGAGGGGAUGUCAAACAGUGGGUCAGGAAAUGCAUUGUUUUUCUGCUAAACAAGAGCUGAUUGCCAUUACAUAAGUCACUUCAGCAUCAUGAUAAAUUCAGAAAUAAACCAAAAAACAAGACACGCAAAAAUAAAAAAAAACAUUUAAUGAUGCUCUCUCCACACUGGGAUAAAUAAAAACAAACACAUCACAUCUAAUGUGGACAUAUCAGAUGCCUUGUGAAACACUAAAGGAACAAUUCAGUUUCGAGCUAUGGCACUUGCCACAUAGAUGUGGGGGGGCCUUGCACCAAUAGUGAUAGUUACCACUGCAUUUAGAAAUUGAAAGCAUUCGUGCAGACAAGGAUGAUUCUUUCUAUUCUUGGCUACCACUUCAAAUGCCUCCACCAAGUGUUACAAUGCUGCACGCAGCCAUACUAAGGAUCUCGCAGCAACACCUGCAGGUAAAAAGCAGAAGCAGUCAAAGUGCUGGUGUGUUCUGGACACUAUGUUUGAAAACAUUUAGGCAAGAAGAGUGCAAGAAGCAGACAUAACAACUGCAUUUAUUUCCAUAAUUCCCCAUUUAAAUGGCCUUUUCUUUUUGCUUAGACAAUGCCUACGCCUAGCCACAGCAGCUCCCUCAUACAGACUCCGCAAGCCAAGAGGCCGUGGAGCCAAAUGCAGGCAGCCAGCACACCUCGAACAGCCACCUUGACUGCGGGUGUGUCACCCUAGUCGCCAAGGAAACAUUUGAGGGAAAGUGACAGGCAAUGUGAACAGCCACUUUUCCAUGUAAACAAUACUCUUUCUCUCGAAUGACUCCUACGCCUCGCCACGCCAGCACACUUGUGCACAAAGAUGCCGCAGAGGCACGUGCAGGUCAGAGGCAAGAAGCAGUGGCACUGGUGUCGACUUUUACCCAAUUUCUUUUUCUUACACUGAGGCAGCCAGCACACCUCGAACAGCCACCUUGACUGCGGGUGUGUCAGUAGAUUCCUGUUGUACAUAUGCUCAUAAUAAACUUCAGUAAACUUGAACUUCAUAAUAAACUUGAAGGCAAAUGGGA